CUUGGUCGAAACUUCAUGUUGCUGACAGAUCACGCACGUGCAUGUGGUUCUUCCAAUUUGAUCUGCGUUUGCUGAAGGUAGCUGUAGGGCCAUUAAGAAACUUUUAAUAAACUUUUUUAGCGGGAUAAUCGUUCGAUUUGCUUUUUACUUCGAACUAAACACUGUUUGCAAACAAUACGCGCGUUAUCAUGUGUAAAAUUGAAGUUUUCUUUUGGAUAAAACGGAAGCUUGCAUUGCAUUGUAGUAUGGUUACAAGAGAUGAUGGAUGAGCGGGGGAAUGCAAUGCCAAUAUCCUGUUGACAACAAUGGCCGAAAUCGUCUUGAAAUGAAUCAAAUUCCAGACCCUACGAGCGCUUGGAGUCCAUGGAACUAAAGUUGCAAGGAAUGAUGAAUGGCAAGGGGAAUGCAAUAUCAAUAUCCUGCUCACAACAAUUGCUGACAUCGCCAUGAUCAGUAUCAAAUUCUGAUAAAACGGAAACUUGCAUUUUACUGGGUUACGGAUGCACGAGGGAUGAUGGAUGGCAAGGGGAAUGCAUUGUCAACAAUUUCAAGAAUUCAUGAGUCGGAUUUUCAGUAAGUACAAACUCUAUUACUAUUGUACGCCGCUGGUUUAAGUAUUCAUGGAAUAAAAAUGGGAAUGAUGUGCUAAAUAA
This is a long non-coding RNA of Anopheles funestus (African malaria mosquito), 653 nucleotides long. RefSeq lists it as uncharacterized. The record is from RefSeq and is a predicted model, not a curated record. NCBI's taxonomy places the organism in Eukaryota, Metazoa, Arthropoda, Insecta, Diptera, Culicidae. The transcript has 4 exons.